RNAcentral lists this ribosomal RNA (301 nucleotides) under uncultured bacterium. Its description in RNAcentral is "partial 16S ribosomal RNA". It matches the Rfam family "Bacterial small subunit ribosomal RNA", at positions 509 to 809 of the family's 1533-position model. The record is from RNAcentral.
CAGCAGCCACGGGAAUACGGAGGGUGCAAGCGUUAAUCGGAAUUACUGGGCGUAAAGCGCACGCAGGCGGUCUGACAAGUCAGAUGUGAAAUCCCCGGGCUUAACCUGGGAACUGCAUUUGAAACUGUCAGGCUGGAGUCUUGUAGAGGGGGGUGGAAUUCCAGGUGUAGCGGUGAAAUGCGUAGAGAUCUGGAGGAAUACCGGUGGCGAAGGCGGCCCCCUGGACAAAGACUGACGCUCAGGUGCGAAAGCGUGGGGAGCAAACAGGAUUAGAUACCCCUGUAGUCCCUGUCUCUUAUAA